RNAcentral lists this ribosomal RNA (520 nucleotides) under uncultured Glomus. RNAcentral's name for it is "SSU rRNA". It matches the Rfam family "Eukaryotic small subunit ribosomal RNA", at positions 569 to 1091 of the family's 1831-position model. The record is from RNAcentral. Lineage: Eukaryota; Fungi; Glomeromycota; Glomeromycetes; Glomerales; Glomeraceae.
AGCAGCCGCGGUAAUUCCAGCUCCAAUAGCGUAUAUUAAAGUUGUUGCAGUUAAAAAGCUCGUAGUUGAAUUUCGGGGUUAGUAGGUUGGUCAUGCCUCUGGUAUGCACUGGCCUCACUGAUUCCUCCUUCCUGAUGAGCCGUAAUGCCAUUAAUUUGGUGUUGCGGGGAAUUUGGACUGUUACUUUGAAAAAAUUAGAGUGUUUAAAGCAAGCUAACGCUUGAAUACAUUAGCAUGGAAUAAUGAAAUAGGACGUUUGAUUCUAUUUUGUUGGUUUCUAGGAUCGACGUAAUGAUUAAUAGGGAUAGUUGGGGGCAUUAGUAUUCAAUUGUCAGAGGUGAAAUUCUUGGAUUUAUUGAAGACUAACUACUGCGAAAGCAUUUGCCAAGGAUGUUUUCAUUAAUCAAGAACGAAAGUUAGGGGAUCGAAGACGAUCAGAUACCGUCGUAGUCUUAACCAUAAACUAUGCCGACUAGGGAUCGGAUGAUGUUAAUUUUUAAUGACUCAUUCGGCGCCUUAA